Molecule: ribosomal RNA, 512 nt
Filed under: uncultured fungus
Lineage: Eukaryota; Fungi
Description: eukaryotic LSU rRNA
Rfam family: 5.8S ribosomal RNA (bases 181-334)
Source: RNAcentral
CAUUACCGAGUUCAGAGGCUUAAAACCCCUCUACUCCCAUCCUUGUCUAAUUAUAAGCUGUCAAGCAGCUUCGGCGGGCCAUCUCUCCAGGGAGAUGUCGGCCUCACAGCUGGCUUGUGCCUGCCGAAGUACCGAAUUCUGAUAAUUGUGCAGUCUGAGAAAAACGAUUUAAAUAAUCAAAACUUUCAACAACGGAUCUCUUGGUUCUGGCAUCGAUGAAGAACGCAGCGAAAUGCGAUAAGUAAUGUGAAUUGCAGAAUUCAGCGAAUCAUCGAAUCUUUGAACGCACAUUGCGCCUCCGGGUAUUCCUGGAGGCAUGCCUGUUCGAGCGUCGUUUAGACCAUGAGGCUUUGCCUUGCGAUGACACCUGGUAUCGAAAGAUUCCAUCUGUUCAAACAUAUUGGCAUUUUGAAGUUGGCCCAGCACAGCACAAUGUGUGAAGGACGACGGAAAGGAUGCCUGUAUCAUGGCGAUUUCCCGACCUUGCGGUCGGUGAUCGCCUUAUUUGGUCG